RNAcentral lists this unclassified non-coding RNA (290 nucleotides) under Hevea brasiliensis (rubber tree). The record is from RNAcentral. Lineage: Eukaryota; Viridiplantae; Streptophyta; Magnoliopsida; Malpighiales; Euphorbiaceae.
CUUGGGCACUUUUCUCUCUUCACUGCAGUGCUCUUCUCUGGAACCGAUUGAUGGGUAGAAAUGUUCUGUCGAUGAACUUUUCUGUCUUGGAGCCUCUAAAUGUAAAUUUAUCAAAGCCAAUAAUGGUUGCACCUUUCUCUGUUGUAUUUGCACACUUGCCAUAUGUUGUCCCUGCUUGCAGCUAGGUAGUACUAGGUGGAACCGAAACUGGUUCCUUAUAAUGAUUGAUCAAAUAAUAGAUAGAAUACAUGCAAAUGUCACAUUAUUUUUUCUUGAUGAAGAAUAUAGUA